Molecule: long non-coding RNA, 876 nt
Organism: Oreochromis aureus
Lineage: Eukaryota; Metazoa; Chordata; Actinopteri; Cichliformes; Cichlidae
Source: Ensembl
GGGGUGAUGAUGAUGAUCAGCAAGCAGUAGUAUGGCUUCAUGCUGAGCGAGCACACUAUAGAUGUGGUGCUUGCUUUGAGAGUUUUAAUAGAGAAGGUCAGAAGGAGGAACUGUGAGGAAGUCGGCUGGAAUCCAAUUUCUAGUAAGCUACAAAACAGAAACAGAUUUUUUGUCAUGUUUGGUGGAUAAUUUGGACCUAAAUUGCAGAGUUAAUGCCAAACUUAAUAAAUAAAUUAGCUUUUAUUCAGGUGAGGCUGGAAAAAUCCAGCAAGAAGCCAAAGUCCAUUGAUCCAAACAAGGGAAGCAACACAGCAGGAGAAUAAUACAAACACUGCAGCCCAACAAAGAGCUGAGGAAAACUAAGCGCUUCACAGUUGACUCAGUGACUGCAAGGUGCCCAGGUCCUGUGGCUGCAAAGCAAGCCCAAAUCAUCAUCCCUCCACCACCGUGCUUGACAGUUGGUAUGCGAUGUUUGUGCUGACACGUUGUGUUUGGCUUCCACCACAUGAAGUCCGGCUCACUCAGUCAGUAGAGUAUGGGACUCCUAAGGGUCUCAGGGUCGUGCUUUCGAGCCCCACGUUGUGGCUGAAAAAGAAGCCCAAAUUAUCACCUCUUCACCACCGUGCUUGGCAGUUGGGCUUCUGCGGUCGAAUCUGUGAGGCAGCAGUUCCAACCACGAACUGCGCUGUGUGUAAACAAGGAUUAAAGGAUGAAAACUAUGAAUGAAUCCAAGCCGGGAAACAAAGAUGUGUGUGAACAAGGUUUUCUAACUUUGGAAAAGACGUCUCUACUCUCCUGCCCGUUCCCCUCCUCUCUCCUCCUCUUGUCCCUCUGCACUUUUUUGCCUCCUCUCCAGCUAUUUCCCAGCCCACACAC